Molecule: ribosomal RNA, 374 nt
Filed under: uncultured bacterium
Lineage: Bacteria
Description: bacterial SSU rRNA
Rfam family: Bacterial small subunit ribosomal RNA
Source: RNAcentral
UACGUAGGGUGCGAGCGUUAAUCGGAAUUACUGGGCGUAAAGCGUGCGCAGGCGGUUUUGUAAGAUCGAUGUGAAAUCCCCGGGCUCAACCUGGGAACUGCAUUGGUGACUGCAAGGCUGGAGUGCGGCAGAGGGGGAUGGAAUUCCGCGUGUAGCAGUGAAAUGCGUAGAUAUGCGGAGGAACACCGAUGGCGAAGGCAAUCCCCUGGGCCUGCACUGACGCUCAUGCACGAAAGCGUGGGGAGCAAACAGGAUUAGAUACCCUGGUAGUCCACGCCCUAAACGAUGUCGACUAGUUGUUGGACGGCUUGCUGUUCAGUAACGUAGCUAACGCGUGAAGUCGACCGCCUGGGGAGUACGGCCGCAAGGUUGAA